Molecule: non-coding RNA, 102 nt
Filed under: Lysinibacillus odysseyi
Lineage: Bacteria; Bacillati; Bacillota; Bacilli; Caryophanales; Bacillaceae
Also listed under: 1 other name
Description: Guanine sequence
Rfam family: Purine riboswitch aptamer
About the family: Riboswitches are metabolite binding domains within certain messenger RNAs that serve as precision sensors for their corresponding targets.
Source: RNAcentral
AACAUAAAUUAAAUACGUCGUCGUAUAAUAAUGGGAAUAAGGCCCGUAAGUUUCUACCAAGUCACCGUAAAUGACUUGACUACGAUAAUGAAAAUAGUUGUA